AUGCCCAAGCGCCUCUUCCUUGUAGAUUCUACCUCACCGGCUAUCUCCCCAAUUCCUCCUACCUACAAGACUGCUCUCAAGGAUCCUCAUUGGCAACAAGCUAUGGUAGAUGAAUUUAACGCUUUAAUGAACAACUCUACUUGGUCUUUGGUGCCUAAGCCUGCAGGUGUCAAUGUGGUCACGGGGAAAUGGAUCUUUCGCCACAAGUUCAACAUGGACGGUUCUUUGGCACGCUAUAAAGCACGUUGGGUGGUGCGUGGCUUCUCCCAACGUGAGGGUGUGGACUAUGAUGAAACCUUCAGCCCGGUGGUCAAACCCGCUACUAUCCGUGUUGUGCUCAGUAUUGCCACCUCGCAAGCAUGGCCCAUCCAUCAACUUGAUGUCAAGAAUGCCUUCUUGCAUGGUGAUCUCCAUGAAACGGUGUAUUGCUCUCAACCGACGGGCUUUGUCGACAAAUCCUUUCCGGACCAUGUGUGUCUUCUUCGGAAGUCCCUCUAUGGUCUCAAACAAGCACCACGUACAUGGUUUCUUCGCUUUCGGUCCUUUUUGCUCUCUCUUGGUUUUUGUGCUUCCAAAAGUGACACCUCACUUUUUAUUCUCCACCGUGGUUCCACCAUUGCAUACUUGUUGGUUUAUGUCGACGAUAUUAUUCUCACUGCCAACUCCACCACCACCCUAGAGCUCCUCAUUCGGUCUCUCAAAUCCGAAUUCUCUAUGUCUGAUUUAGGUGCUCUACACCACUUUCUUGGCAUCAAUGUGACCCCCAAUGCUUCUGGUCUUUUCCUUUGCCAACAACAAUAUGCCUUGGAGAUUCUAGAGAGAGCAAAGAUGUUAAAUUGCAGACCGGUGUCCACCCCCAUUGAUACUAGCUCCAAAGUAUCUUCCACCGCCGGCUCUGUUCUUUCCAACCCUACUCACUAUCGCAGUCUUGCCGGCGCGCUUAAAUAUCUUACCCUCACACGUCCGGACAUUGCUUAUGCUGUCCAACAGGUGUGUUUGUUCAUGCAUGAGCCGCAGGACACCCACAUGCAGCUCAUCAAGAGGAUACUACGAUACUUGCAAGGCACCUCCCACUAUGGCCUUCAGUUCUAUCGCUCCUCUUCGCAUGAUCUUGUUUUCUACACUGACGCCGACUGGGCCGGGUGCCCGGACACGCGCCGCUCGACCUCAGGGUUUUGUGUUUUUCUUGGGUCCAACCUCAUUUCGUGGUCCUCCAAGAGACAGCCCACUGUUUCUCGCUCCAGCGCCGAAGCCGAGUACCGUGGCGUGGCUAAUUGUGUGGCCGAGGCUUGUUGGCUCCGUCAACUUCUUCAUGAGCUCAAACAUCCUCCUCGGCGUGCCACAGUGGUUUAUUGUGAUAACAUCAGUGCCUCUUACCUUGCAUGUAAUCCCGUUCAGCAUCAACGCACUAAACAUGUUGAGAUAGACCUACACUUCGUCCGAGAUCGCGUGGCACUUGGCGAAGUCCGGGUCCUCCAUGCUUCUUGA
Molecule: ribosomal RNA, 1488 nt
Filed under: Triticum aestivum (bread wheat)
Lineage: Eukaryota; Viridiplantae; Streptophyta; Magnoliopsida; Poales; Poaceae
Description: partial small subunit ribosomal RNA
Source: RNAcentral